This 82-nucleotide transfer RNA is filed under the name Methanobrevibacter millerae. RNAcentral describes it as "tRNA_Leu_TAA". It matches the Rfam family "tRNA". Rfam says of the family: Transfer RNA (tRNA) molecules are approximately 80 nucleotides in length. The record is from RNAcentral. Lineage: Archaea; Methanobacteriati; Methanobacteriota; Methanobacteria; Methanobacteriales; Methanobacteriaceae.
AGGUGCGUGUCCGAGAGGCCAAAGGACCCCGGCUUAAGACCGGGGGCAUAGCGCUACGUGGGUUCAAAUCCCACCGCACCUA